GCCUAACACAUGCAAGUCGAGCGGAUGAAGGGAGCUUGCUCCUGGAUUCAGCGGCGGACGGGUGAGUAAUGCCUAGGAAUCUGCCUGGUAGUGGGGGAUAACGUCCGGAAACGGGCGCUAAUACCGCAUACGUCCUGAGGGAGAAAGUGGGGGAUCUUCGGACCUCACGCUAUCAGAUGAGCCUAGGUCGGAUUAGCUAGUUGGUGGGGUAAAGGCCUACCAAGGCGACGAUCCGUAACUGGUCUGAGAGGAUGAUCAGUCACACUGGAACUGAGACACGGUCCAGACUCCUACGGGAGGCAGCAGUGGGGAAUAUUGGACAAUGGGCGAAAGCCUGAUCCAGCCAUGCCGCGUGUGUGAAGAAGGUCUUCGGAUUGUAAAGCACUUUAAGUUGGGAGGAAGGGCAGUAAGUUAAUACCUUGCUGUUUUGACGUUACCAACAGAAUAAGCACCGGCUAACUUCGUGCCAGCAGCCGCGGUAAUACGAAGGGUGCAAGCGUUAAUCGGAAUUACUGGGCGUAAAGCGCGCGUAGGUGGUUCAGCAAGUUGGAUGUGAAAUCCCCGGGCUCAACCUGGGAACUGCAUCCAAAACUACUGAGCUAGAGUACGGUAGAGGGUGGUGGAAUUUCCUGUGUAGCGGUGAAAUGCGUAGAUAUAGGAAGGAACACCAGUGGCGAAGGCGACCACCUGGACUGAUACUGACACUGAGGUGCGAAAGCGUGGGGAG
This 727-nucleotide ribosomal RNA is filed under the name Pseudomonas aeruginosa. Its description in RNAcentral is "bacterial SSU rRNA". It matches the Rfam family "Bacterial small subunit ribosomal RNA", at positions 46 to 768 of the family's 1533-position model. Lineage: Bacteria; Pseudomonadati; Pseudomonadota; Gammaproteobacteria; Pseudomonadales; Pseudomonadaceae. The record is from RNAcentral.